Molecule: unclassified non-coding RNA, 245 nt
Filed under: air metagenome
Description: partial contains small subunit ribosomal RNA, internal transcribed spacer 1, and 5.8S ribosomal RNA
Rfam family: Eukaryotic small subunit ribosomal RNA (bases 1-46)
Source: RNAcentral
AAGUCGUAACAAGGUUUCCGUAGGUGAACCUGCGGAAGGAUCAUUACUGGGUCAUGGGCUCCGGCCCGCCACCCGCCCUCUGUCAUACACAUCGAAAUGCUUCGGCCGAUGGUCCUGCGAGCGCCUGGCGAGAGCCCGGCGCGGACGGGGCCGCGGUCGGUCUUCCAACCCUGAGUGCAUGCUUGCAGUCUGAAGAAAAGAUUUAAACGAAACCAAAACUUUCAACAACGGAUCUCUUGGUUCUG